RNAcentral lists this ribosomal RNA (433 nucleotides) under uncultured bacterium. Its description in RNAcentral is "partial 16S ribosomal RNA". It matches the Rfam family "Bacterial small subunit ribosomal RNA", at positions 338 to 795 of the family's 1533-position model. The record is from RNAcentral.
CCUACGCGGAGUGCUGCAGUUAGGAAUAUUGGACAAUGGGGGAAACCCUGAUCCAGCCAUGCCGCGUGUGUGAAGAAGGCCUUAGGGUUGUAAAGCACUUUCGUCUGUGAAGCAGUAGCAGAAGAAGAAGCUCCGGCUAAAUUCGUGCCAGCAGCCGCGGUAAUACGAAUGGAGCGAGCGUUGUUCGGAAUCACUGGGCGUAACGCGUGCGCAGGCGGUUUUGAAAGUUAGAAGUGAAAGCCCAGGGCUUAACCUUGGAAUUGCUUUUAAAACUUCAAGACUAGAGUACUGGAGGGGUUGGCGGAAUUUCGAGUGUAGCAGUGAAAUGCGUAGAUAUUCGAAGGAACACCGAUGGCGUAGGCAGCCAACUGAAGUUACUGACGCUCAUGCACGUAAGCGUGGGGAUCAAACAGGAUUAGAUACCCCAGUAGUC